RNAcentral lists this ribosomal RNA (1024 nucleotides) under uncultured euryarchaeote. RNAcentral's name for it is "bacterial SSU rRNA". It matches the Rfam family "Archaeal small subunit ribosomal RNA", at positions 345 to 1332 of the family's 1478-position model. The record is from RNAcentral. Lineage: Archaea; Methanobacteriati; Methanobacteriota.
AACCUUUGCCAUGCGCGAAAGCGUGACAGGGGAACUCCGAGUGGUAGAAGGUUUUACUUUCUAUCUUUUUGUCAAUCCAAACCAUUGGCAGAAUAAGGUCUGGGUAAGGCCAGUGCCAGCCGCCAUGUUGGGAGUGUUCACACCCCCGACACGGUAUGCGGUAAUACUGGCAGAACAAGUGGUACCCACGAAUAUUGGGUCUAAAGAGUCCGUAGCGGGCCAAUUAAGUCCACUGUGAAAUCUGGCGGCUUAACCGUCAGGCGGGCAGUGGAUACUGAUCGGCUUGGGAGCGGGGGAGGCCGGGAGUACUGGCGGGGUAGCGGUAAAAUGCUGUAAUCCUGCCAGGACUACCAGUGGCGAAGGCGCCCGGCCAAAACGCGUCCGACCGUGAGGGACGAAGGCUAGGAGAACGAAUCGGAUUAGAUACCCGAGUAGCCCUAGCAGUAAAUUAUGCGGACUGUGGUGUUGCAACGACUUCGAGUCGUUGCAGUGCUGUAGCGUAGGUGUUAAGUCCGCCACCUGGGGAGUACGGCCGCAAGGUUGAAACUUAAAGGAAUUGGCGGGGGAGCACCACAAGGCGUGGAUGCUGCGGUUCAAUUGGAUACAACGCCAGGAAUCUUACCAGGGGCGACGGCAGGAUGAAGGUCAGACUAAAGAUCUUGCCUAACGAGCCGAGAGGUGCUGCAUGGCCAUCGUCAGCUCGUGGUGCGAACUGUCAGGUUAAGUCCCGUAACGAGCGAGACCCCCGCGCACUGUUGCGAACUUCCCCUCCGGGGGAGGUGCACCCUGUGCGGACUGCCCGUGUUAAAUGGGAGGAAGGAGGGGGCGACGGUAGGUCAGUAUGGCCUGAAUCUCCUGGGCCACACGUGGCAUACAAUGCGUAUGACAAUGGGCGGCAACCCCGAGAGGGGAAGCUAAUCCCCCAAACAUACGCUAAGUUCGGAUUGAGGGCUGAAACUCGCCCUCAUGAAGCUGGAAUGCCUAGUAAUCGCUUGUCAACAUCGAGCGGGUGAAUAAGUCCCCG